GGCGAGAUGGCCGAGCGGUCUAAGGCGCCAGACUAAGGUCGGUUCCCGAUUGUAAUCUGGUCCGAAAGGGCGUGGGUUCGAAUCCCACUCUCGUCA
Molecule: non-coding RNA, 96 nt
Organism: Trametes punicea
Lineage: Eukaryota; Fungi; Basidiomycota; Agaricomycetes; Polyporales; Polyporaceae
Source: the annotation of a GenBank genome assembly